RNAcentral lists this unclassified non-coding RNA (280 nucleotides) under Hevea brasiliensis (rubber tree). The record is from RNAcentral. Lineage: Eukaryota; Viridiplantae; Streptophyta; Magnoliopsida; Malpighiales; Euphorbiaceae.
AACCAUUUGGGGUAGCAACAGGGUUAUGGAGAAUGAAGUGCUCAAGGAGAUCGCAAAUGCUAAAAAAAAGAGUGUUGCUCAGGUGCUCUCUUCACCACAUUCAUAAUUAUGUUUUUAGGAUUAGUGAUAAUUGUGAUUUAUAUUGUAAUUAAACACGAGAAGUUGAAAGGUUUGGCGUUGUACAUAAAAACAGAUCUGCCUGAGGUGGGCAUAUGAACAAGGAGUAUGCAUAUUGGUGAAGAGUUUCCACAGUGAAAGGAUGAAAGAAAACCUUGACAUA